UACGUAGGGGGCAAGCGUUGUCCGGAUUUAUUGGGCGUAAAGCGCUCGCAGGUGGUCCGCUGCGUCGUGCGUGAAAGACCCCGGCUCAACUGGGGGAUGUCGUGCGAUACGGGCGGACUGGAGGCCAGUAGGGGGAUGCGGAAUUCCGGGUGUAGCGGUGAAAUGCGCAGAUAUCAGGAGGAACACCGAUGGCGAAGGCAGGUCUCUGGGCAUUAACUGACGCUGAGGAGCGAAAGCAUGGGGAGCGAACAGG
Molecule: ribosomal RNA, 253 nt
Filed under: uncultured bacterium
Lineage: Bacteria
Description: partial 16S ribosomal RNA
Rfam family: Bacterial small subunit ribosomal RNA
Source: RNAcentral